CGACUCCGUGAAGCUGGAUUCGCUAGUAAUCGCGCAUCAGCCAUGGCGCGGUGAAUACGUUCCCGGGCCUUGUACACACCGCCCGUCAAGCCAUGGAAGCCGGGAGUGCCUGAAGUAUGCAACCGCAAGGAGCGUCCUAAGGUAAAACCGGUGACUGGGGCUAAGUCGUAACAAGGUAUC
This 180-nucleotide ribosomal RNA is filed under the name uncultured bacterium. RNAcentral describes it as "partial 16S ribosomal RNA". It matches the Rfam family "Bacterial small subunit ribosomal RNA", at positions 1313 to 1500 of the family's 1533-position model. The record is from RNAcentral.